RNAcentral lists this ribosomal RNA (571 nucleotides) under Salmonella enterica. RNAcentral describes it as "partial 23S ribosomal RNA". It matches the Rfam family "Bacterial large subunit ribosomal RNA", at positions 2232 to 2802 of the family's 2925-position model. Lineage: Bacteria; Pseudomonadati; Pseudomonadota; Gammaproteobacteria; Enterobacterales; Enterobacteriaceae. The record is from RNAcentral. RNAcentral also lists the same sequence under 4 other names.
CCCGUGAUCCGGGUUGCGGACAGUGUCUGGUGGGUAGUUUGACUGGGGCGGUCUCCUCCUAAAGAGUAACGGAGGAGCACGAAGGUUGGCUAAUCCUGGUCGGACAUCAGGAGGUUAGUGCAAUGGCAUAAGCCAGCUUGACUGCGAGCGUGACGGCGCGAGCAGGUGCGAAAGCAGGUCAUAGUGAUCCGGUGGUUCUGAAUGGAAGGGCCAUCGCUCAACGGAUAAAAGGUACUCCGGGGAUAACAGGCUGAUACCGCCCAAGAGUUCAUAUCGACGGCGGUGUUUGGCACCUCGAUGUCGGCUCAUCACAUCCUGGGGCUGAAGUAGGUCCCAAGGGUAUGGCUGUUCGCCAUUUAAAGUGGUACGCGAGCUGGGUUUAGAACGUCGUGAGACAGUUCGGUCCCUAUCUGCCGUGGGCGCUGGAGAACUGAGGGGGGCUGCUCCUAGUACGAGAGGACCGGAGUGGACGCAUCACUGGUGUUCGGGUUGUCAUGCCAAUGGCACUGCCCGGUAGCUAAAUGCGGAAGAGAUAAGUGCUGAAAGCAUCUAAGCACGAAACUUGCCCCGA